Molecule: ribosomal RNA, 253 nt
Filed under: uncultured bacterium
Lineage: Bacteria
Description: partial 16S ribosomal RNA
Rfam family: Bacterial small subunit ribosomal RNA
Source: RNAcentral
UACGGAGGGUGCAAGUGUUAUCCGGAUUUACUGGGUUUAAAGGGAGCGCAGGCGGAUUAGUAAGUCAGUGGUGAAAGCCUUGAGCUUAACUCGAGAACUGCCAUUGAUACUAUUAGUCUUGAAUGUUGUUGAGGUUUGCGGAAUGGGUCAUGUAGCGGUGAAAUGAUUAGAUAUGACAUAGAACACCAAUUGCGAAGGCAGCUCACUACGGAAUUAUUGACACUGAGGCACGAAAGCGUGGGGAUCAAACAGG